CCUUGACAUGCUGAGAACUUUCCAGAGAUGGAUUGGUGCCUUCGGGAACUCAGACACAGGUGCUGCAUGGCUGUCGUCAGCUCGUGUCGUGAGAUGUUGGAUUAAGUCCCGUAACGAGCGCAACCCUUGUCCUUAGUUACCAGCACGUUAUGGCGGGCACUCUAAGGAGACUGCCGGUGACAAACCGGAGGAAGGUGGGGAUGACGUCAGGUCAUCAUGGCCCUUACGGCCAGGGCUACACACGUGCUACAAUGGUCGGUACAAAGGGUUGCCAAGCCGCGAGGUGGAGCUAAUCCCAUAAAACCGAUCGUAGUCCGGAUCGCAGUCUGCAACUCGACUGCGUGAAGUCGGAAUCGCUAGUAAUCGUGAAUCAGAACGUCACGGUGAAUACGUUCCCGGGCCUUGUACACACCGCCCGUCACACCAUGGGAGUGGGUUGCUCCAGAAGUAGCUAGUCUAACCCUCGGGAGGACGGUUACCACGGAGUGAUUCAUGACCGGGGUGAAGUCGUAACAAGGUAAGCGUAGUGCU
This 531-nucleotide ribosomal RNA is filed under the name uncultured bacterium. RNAcentral describes it as "bacterial SSU rRNA". It matches the Rfam family "Bacterial small subunit ribosomal RNA", at positions 979 to 1509 of the family's 1533-position model. The record is from RNAcentral.